UCUCGGUGGCAACAACAAAGAUAUUCUCUUUCCCUUUCCUUUCCUUUCCUGCGAAAUAUCUUGCAGUUGGCAGUUCGCUAACCCUAUGGCCGCUUCCACGACACAAGCUCCAGCCUCCGGAACUGUGAAGUCGUAGAUAAUAUUGGUUGUGACGACCAUGGACGAACAAGUACCGAAUUUGAAUAUUUUCUAUGACGGAGACGAUGGUCGAGUGUCAGUUUGGGAGAUUGGGCUGCCGACCGCCGACGAUCUGAUGCCGCUCUCUCAGUCCUUGAUCUCCCCGGAGCUGGCCUUGGCGUUCUGCAUCUCGCCCAAGCCUCGCCGGAGCGCCAUGGACGUGAAUCCGGCUUCACAGGACACGCUCUCCAGUAUCCGAGCUCAUUCACAGGUGCUUUCCUCGAAUGGUUUUAACUUCGGGUCAUUCGACGACGAGAAGAUUAGAGACGAAUUGGCGCCAGAAGAGGAGGCGGUUGCUCUGACGACCGACGGAUCGGAUUUGCGGAAGCCGCUCCGGAGGUUUGACGGCGGUGGCGAAGAGACCGAGAACGGCACCAAAGAGCUGUCGACGUCGGCGAAGGCGUUGAAGCGGCCGCGGUUGGUGUGGACGCCGAAGCUUCACAAGCGGUUUGUGGACGUUGUUGCACAUUUAGGCACAAAUAACGCGGUGCCUAAGAAGAUCAUGCACUUGAUGAACGUCGAGGGCUUGACUCGCCAGAACGUGGCGGGUCAUCUGCAGAAGUACCGACUGUAUAUGAAGAGACAGGGCUUGUCGAACGACUCUUCAUCGCCGUCGGAUCACAUUUUCGCAUCGACGCCCCUGCAUGAUUCUUCUUAUAGAGUUCUAAUGCCUUACCCGCCGGCGGUGAUGGGCGUGCCACGUGGUCAUGGUCCUUAUCACGUGUUCGACUCUCAGCCGUACAGUAUGGGGCAGCAGAGGGACUAGCAGUACCACUGCACGAUAGUUAACAGGCUGCGAUUCAUAUAGCUUCUAAUCCAGUUUUCCAUGAACGCACCAAGCAUAUCGAAUUGGAUUGCCAUUUUGUUCGGGAUAAAUUGCAGGAGGGUCUGUUCAAGCUUUUACCUAUUCAAUCAGCUCAUCAGCUUGCAGAUCUCUUUACCAAGCCGUUACCAGCUUCUCAAUUGCAGUCUUUAUUAGCCAAGAUGGCUGUGCUUGAUGUUCACCGUCCAUCUUGAGGGGGAGUAUUAUAUGUGAUUGUAUUUUUCUCAUUUCCUUUGAGCUGUAUUUCAUUUUCUUUCAUUGAUGUAUUGUUAGUUAGUUGCUUUAUUAUCAGUGGCAUUUUUGUAAUUAGACCUAUAGAGUUUGGUUUACUAUUUAAGCCAAGAUCUAAAAUGAAUGGAAAGAUCGAUGAGGCAUUUACAUCUUCUUGUCUCAUAAUACUCACCCCUGUUCAGUGUCAACAAUUGAUGGGGAUACUCAGCUCACAUCUUUCUGAUGCUAAGUCCAGCUCAGAUGAUGCUUCCCUUGAUCAGAUGUCAGGUACUUGCUUUGCUUCUCUAUUUCAAUUAAUCCAGGGCUUAGUUACCCUAAGUAUUGGAUAAUAGACUCGGGGGCCACCAAUCAUAUAUGUUGCAAUCAGUCUUCUUUUCAAUAUAUGAGGACAGUUCAAAAUUCUUUUGUUACAUUGCCUGACCAUAGUCAGAUCACUGUUAAUUUCAUUGGAACUGUGAGGAUUAACUCUCAUCUUGUACUAGAGAAUGUCCUUUACAUACCUCAUUUCAAAUUCAACUUGAUAUUUGUGAGUGCCUUGACUGGGAAAAACAAUUUGUCUCUCAGUUUCUUUCAUGAUACCUGCAUUAUUCAGGAUAUCCACCACAUGAGGAUGAUUGGCAGGGGUAAUUUGCUUGAAGGGCUUUAUGUUUUGGAUGGAUUUUUACUGGAGCUUGGCAGCCUAAAUGUAGAUAAGGCUUGUGUUUCUGUAGCUAAUGUGAUAAGUAGCCUUACUUAGCACAGCAGGUUAGGCCAUCCUUCUUUUAAAAAGUUGAUACAUUUGAAGGAUUUGUUGAAUCUUACUCCCGACUAUAAGAAGACUGAUAUUCCAUGGUCAAUUUGUCCUUUAGCUAAACAAAGAUGUUUGUCUUUUCUUUCUAAUAAUCAUUUGUCUAAAUGUGCAUUUGAUCUUAUACAUUGUGACACUUGGGGUCCGUAUCAUAUUCCCACUUAUGCUAGGCAUCGAUAUUUCUUGACUUUGGUGGAUGAUUGUACAAGGUUUACUUGGGAACAUAAGUCUGAUGCUAGAUCUAUCAUCCCUAAGUGUUUCUCCCUUGUUGAGACUCAAUUCCAUAGUCAUUAAAGGGUUUCGGUCUGACAAUGCCCCUGAGUUGCUGUUUAAUCAUUUCUUUUCUUCGAAAGGUGUUGUUCAUCAAUUUUCAUGUGUUGAGAGGCCUGGACAUAAUUCAGUUGUUGAACGUAAGCAUCAGCACUUAAUGUGGCUAGGGCCUUGUAUUUUCAGUCUAGGGUGCCUAUAAAAUUCUGGGGAGAUUGUGUUCUUACUACCACAUUUUUGAUAAAUGGAACACCAGCCUCUAUUCUACAAAAUAAAUCUCUUUAUCAGAUCCUUGUGAAUUAUGGUUCUCUUGGAGUAUUUGGUAGCCUGUGCUUUGCUUCCACUUUGCCUUCCCAUAGGACCAAAUUUCACCCUAGAGCUAUAGCUUGUGUAUUUCUUGGCUACCCUCCAGGUAUUAAGGGCUACAAACUGUAUGACAUAGCCACUAAAGUCAUUUUUGUCUCGUGAUGUUGUAUUCCAUAAACACAUCUUUCCUUUUCAUUCUGUCACUUCUGAUAAUGAAGUGCUAGACCCUUGUCCUGAUCUUGUUUUGCCUAAGCCUGUCUCUGGCUUGUCUUGUUCCAUCACACCUUCCCCUGCUGCUCUUGUUUCUCCAGAUUUAGAUGAGGAUCAUAAUCUUCCUACUGAUUCUCAGCCUCCUAUUUCCUCUUUUCUUCCUGUCCGCAGGUCUGCUAGAACUUCAAAGCCUCCUUAUCUUAGAGACUUUCAUUGUAUUCUCUUGGCUAACAGACCUACUCCCUUACCUCAGUCCUUAUAUCCCUUACAGCAAUACCUUUCUUACAAUCGUCUUUCUCCUUCUCAUAAAUCCUUCCUCCUUACAGUAUCUUCCUCUUUUGAACCACAAUACUACCAUCAGGCUGUCAAAUAUUCUCAUUGGAGUGAUGCCAUGGCUGCUGAUUUAGAGGCUAUGCAGCAAAAUAACACUUGGUCCAUUGCCCCUCUUGCACAAGAUAAGCAUUCUAUUGGUUGUAAAUUGGUGUAUAAAAUCAAGUACAAGUCUGAUGGCACCAUAGAAAGGCACAAAGCCCGUUUAGUGGCCUAAGGUUAUACUCAACAAGAGGGCUUAGAUUUUCUUGAUACUUUUUCCCCAGUUGCCAAGCUGGUUACUGUUAAAGUACUCCUUGUCCUUGUUGCUAUUAACAAGUGGUCACUGGUCCAACUUGAUGUUAAUAAUGCUUUCCUUAAUGGUGAUCUUUUUGAGGAAGUGUAUAUGGAUCUUCCACUUGAUUAUCAACUUAAAAAUCAAGCUACUUCUAAGGGGGAGAGGUUAGUAUGUAAGCUCCACAAAUCCAUUUAUGGCUUGAAACAAGCCCCCUGGCAAUGGUUCUCUAAAUUCUCUAAUGUUCUUGUUCAAAAUGGUUUUCAUCAAUCUCGGUCGGAUUAUUCUUUGUUCACCAAGGGUACUGGUUCUUCAUUUGUGGCUCUUCUUGUUUACGUUGAUGAGAUCAUUAUCACUGUCCCUAACAUUCAUGUCAUAGAAUCUCUCAAGUUGUUCCUUCACAGCCAGUUUAAGCUUAAAGAUCUUGGCCGGUUAAGGUACUUUCUUGGCUUGGAAAUAGCUCAAUCUGAAACAGGUAUAUUUUUCUCCCAAAGGCACUACACUUUACAGCUUCUUGAGGAUACAGGAUUUUUGGCCUGUAAACCUGUCAAUUUACCUAUGAUUUCUAACUCCAAACUAUGUUCGUUUGAGGGGAGUUACUUGAGGAUCCUACUGUGUAUAGAAGACUCAUUGGCCGUCUCCUGUACCCGACCAUCUCUAGGCCAGAUAUCACAUUUUCUGUGCACAAGCUCAGCCAGUUCGUUUCUCAGCCUAGACAGCCCCACUUAGAUGCAGCUCAUCAUCUUCUUCAAUAUUUGAAGGUAUCUCUAGGUCAAGGGUUAUUCUUUUCAGCAUCCUCUUCUAUUCAACUUCGUGUCUUUUCUGAUGCUGAUUGGGGCUCCUAUCUAGAUUCAAGGAAAUCUGUUACAGGCUUUUGUAUCUUUUUGGGUGUCUCCUUGGUGUCCUGGAGAGCAAAGAAGCAGAACACUGUAUCUAGAUCCUCUGCUGAAGCAGAGUAUCGGGCCCUUGCUUCUACUGCCAGUGAGAUUAUGUGGAUCACUCAGCUUCUCUAGGAUUUUCAGGUCUCAUCUCCUACUUCUGCUCUACACUUUUGUGAUAAUCAGGUAGCUGUACACAUAGCUACUAAUCCGGUUUUUCAUGAGCAUACAGAGCAUAUCGAGCUUGAUUGUCAUUUUGUUCGGGACAAGCUUACUGAUGGUCUUCUUAAACUUCUCCCUAUUUGCAGCCAGCAUCUACUAGCUGAUGUAUUCACUAAGGCUCUCCCAGCUACUCGGUUGUUUCCAUUAUUAGCCAAGAUGGCCAUUUUUGAUAUACAGGCCCAUCUUGAGGGGGAGUAACAGGUGUUAUUGAUAUAUUUGAUUAUUGUUGUUUCGUAUUAUGUUGUGCUUUUUAUUGUACAGUUAGCUGGGUAUGAGGUUAGAUGGUUAUGUGGCUGCAAGUAACUAACGAUUGGCAGUUAGAAGAGUUAGAGCAGAGUAGAUGCAGAAUGUAUUUAAACUCUGCAAGCAGCUUAUUCUCAUUUGAAUAAACGAGCAAUGGGGGCUGGUACUGGACUUGAUGCUGUGGCAAUUGUGGUGAGUCACAACUGGUACUUCACUGGAUAUUUAAUUUACUGGGCUAGAUGCUAGAGCUUAAUAAUUUUCUUUGGAAACCUGUAUUGGUAGCUCCGUUCUAUUUAAUCCUCCUUAAGUGUGAAAACAAAUUUAUUCUUGACUUUAACUUGACUACUUGAAGUGAUUUGAGAGAACCGUUGUCUAGUUCCUCGGCAACUUUGCCGUUUGGAUCACGCUGAGCAAUACUAUUCAGGUGCAUAUAUAGUGGAUACUGAAUAUGCUCCUUUUGCUAGACCAUUGUUAAUUGGUUCUUCAUAUGGGUUUAUUAUUUCUGCUUUAAUGAUGCUUCAAUUUCCUUUUAAAAAUGCUUCAUGUUUAUGUUUUCACGACAGGGGCAUGAAGGUUUGGCAAAGCAGAAAAUGAGGCACUCCUAUAACGUUUAUUUUAAGAUCAAGUAUGAUUGGUGUCACUGGCAAUAAAUGGAGCCAAUUUGAAGUCUAUUCCAGUAUCAUUGAGGUUCCACACAAGCUCUCUCUCUCUCUCUGCAUAUUUUCUUGUUCAAUUGAAGUAGGAGACUCCUGUAUUCUGUCUGGUUCAGCCUUUUAGAGGAUGGCAAGCCAUUAAAUAUGUUCUUGCCCCGUUUGUGAUCGCUAAAUGGUGAUAUAGGAAGAAAGCAAAAGUAAUCAGCAAUUAUUUGGCAUGUGAGUGUUGGAUGUUGUUAUUGAUCCUAGGUUUUCUUUCUAUAUACGAGUAGUUUUUCCAUUUUCAACAACACUAAUGGCUAAGCAGUUUUUCUUCAUGUGUGUGUGCACGCAUGUGAUUGUCGUAUGCUACAAUUACUUCAACUACCUCUUCAAUGCUUGCUCCCCAUAUGAAGCUCUUUACCAUGUAUUCUUUCCAAUUGCAACAGAAUCGUAAAACAUGGUUCCUGGCAUAUCAUUUCUAUUCAUCAAAGUUACAUGCUUGACCUGCUUACAACCAUUAUGCAUGCUAGUCUUUUGAGUAUUAGCAUAUGCAGUGAAUUCUUUUUAAUUUUAAUUUUUACUAUUUUGGUCUCAGCAAUAAAGCUGGAGUCAGUCUUGAGCUUCCACUGUUAAAAGAUCGGUUCCUCAGUUCCAAAAGUGAAUUUAUUGAGUAAUCAUUGUUAGUCUUGAGGGGUUUGGGUAAGUUAGGUUCUCCCUCUCUGCAUGCAUAUAUAUAUAUAUAUGUACAUGUUUAUAUGCGUCAGUGUACCCACGCAUGUAUAAGCUUACAACUUUUAGGGUUGGGAUUAGAUGUUUUGCAAGAUUGAUGAAGAUGAUUACAGCUUUUUAUUUUUUUUUUUUCCUAAUAAAUAAUGAUUGUACUUGGUGCGAGGAUAUUCCACUAGCAAUCAAAGAAAACUACCCAGUUCGGUGUUAUGAGGGCUAACAUUACUGUUUGUAUGGAUUAUUUUGGGAACUAAUUGAGCCUGGGCGCUGUGAGAUAUCUGAGGUGCUUCAUAAAUGGGAUAUAAAUUUGCUGGCAAUACUUGUUUCUUGUAUUAGCCUUAUGAUGCCUGCCCGCACGUACACAAGAAUUAAUUAGAGAUUUGAACUGUUCAUCGAUGUUCCUAUGGCUGUUUUUUGUGUUUCCCUUUCCCCUUGAAGAAGAUGUUCAUAAGGUAGAACCCCUGAUAUAUCUUGGUUGAUAGGAAUUAACUCAACUGGGGUGAGCAAGAUGUACAUGAUCUUGGAUUCGGUUAGUUUUUGCUGCAUGUAUGAAAUUGUAC
RNA transcript from Diospyros lotus (date-plum), 6669 nucleotides. It is a transcript of the gene named transcription factor PCL1-like, with no coding region annotated. The transcript has 4 exons. Lineage: Eukaryota; Viridiplantae; Streptophyta; Magnoliopsida; Ericales; Ebenaceae. The record is from RefSeq and is a predicted model, not a curated record.